GCGAGGGUUGCCGAGCCAGGUCAAAGGCGACGGAUUUAGGGUCCGUUCUCGAAGGAGUUCAAGGGUUCGAAUCCCUUCCCUCGCA
This is a transfer RNA of Methanoculleus bourgensis, 85 nucleotides long. It matches the Rfam family "tRNA". Rfam says of the family: Transfer RNA (tRNA) molecules are approximately 80 nucleotides in length. Their secondary structure includes four short double-helical elements and three loops (D, anti-codon, and T loops). Further hydrogen bonds mediate the characteristic L-shaped molecular structure. tRNAs have two regions of fundamental functional importance: the anti-codon, which is responsible for specific mRNA codon recognition, and the 3' end, to which the tRNAs corresponding amino acid is attached (by aminoacyl-tRNA synthetases). tRNAs cope with the degeneracy of the genetic code in two manners: having more than one tRNA (with a specific anti-codon) for a particular amino acid; and 'wobble' base-pairing, i.e. permitting non-standard base-pairing at the 3rd anti-codon position. Lineage: Archaea; Methanobacteriati; Methanobacteriota; Methanomicrobia; Methanomicrobiales; Methanomicrobiaceae. The record is from Rfam.